RNAcentral lists this small RNA (163 nucleotides) under Chelonoidis abingdonii (Abingdon island giant tortoise). RNAcentral's name for it is "TUC338 (ENSCABG00000016886.1)". The record is from RNAcentral. Lineage: Eukaryota; Metazoa; Chordata; Testudines; Testudinidae.
CUGACAAUUUCAGAGACUGAAGAUCUUUAUUUAUCCACAGAAUAUGUAUUACAAGGACAGUUCAAGCUUCCCCUCACAGCCCCAUCAGUGCCUCACGCAUUUAGCCAAGACCAUCUUAAGGGUCAGGCUUCUAUUUAUACAUCCAAUUCAGUUCUUGGCCUCU